This 595-nucleotide long non-coding RNA is filed under the name Zonotrichia albicollis (white-throated sparrow). RNAcentral's name for it is "lncRNA (ENSZALG00000018150.1)". Lineage: Eukaryota; Metazoa; Chordata; Aves; Passeriformes; Passerellidae. The record is from RNAcentral.
UUUCCAUAACACUGAGCAUGUCUGGAUUUCUUCUGGCCAGCAUACAAUGGUCUUAAGAUCGUCUUCAGAUAUACUCAUUUUUUCCUCUAAUUCAAAUUGCCUUAAAUACUCUGAUAGGCUGUGCUACAAAAUAUUAUGCAUACUCUCCAGACAGUGGUCCCUAGCUGGAAUAAAUCAGAUUGCAAAUUGGAGACAUCUAGUAAGCUCACUUCAGAACAAGCCUGGGAGCAAAACACAAUACAUGGAAUUAGAAGGAGCAGAACAACAGAGUAAAGAGGUCUUCCAGAACAGCUGGGAAAUCUGGCCCAAGAAACAGUUCAAGUCCUGCUCAUUAUCUUCAAAAAGGGCUCAUGGAGAGUCAGGUGCACAUCAAAAUGAUGAGGCCAGCAGGAAUGAUGUCAAGCCAAGCUCUGCAGGAUGCCACGGGGAGAUGGAGCUGUGACCUCUGAGACAGGCGAGGCAAGAGAGGGGGAGUAGACUGCUACAGUAGAAGUGAGCAGAGGAAAUCUCUCUGGAAGCAGUAGUUACAGGGGAUCAAGUCAAGCCACAGAACUCAUCCUGGCAAGCAGAACUUGCUCUCACGCAACCCAGUCUU